GGGCAGCUGACCAAAGAGCAUUUAAUUCAUAACAUAUACAACAGUUUAAUUCUAUUCUUCCUCCUAACAUGUCAGUCAUGUUGACUUCUUAGAAACACUCUUGGGCUCCUGCUUUAGGAGGAAAAGCUCAGCUGCACUCGGACAGUUUUUCGCUGGGACUCAGAAUAAUGCUGCUUUGGACCACUCUGUACAAGGUAUCUGAUAGUUGAAAACCAGGUGACUGACCCACUUGCUUUGAGCAGUUUCAUGGGCGCUUUCGUAAUUGGUAUUUGGUGUUCCUCUUAUUCAGAGACCUGUGACAACUUUGCUUGGUGCACUGUUCCAAAGGCUCUGCAGUAAAUGGUUGGCUUGCCUGUAACUCCCCCCCCCCAGUGGAUGUGGUGGUGUAAGGAGUGUUCAGUAGUCGUUUCAAGCUGAUGAUGAAGCCUUCCAAGGAUCCAUUGAGGACACCAUG
Sphaeramia orbicularis (orbiculate cardinalfish) is the source of this 454-nucleotide long non-coding RNA. RefSeq lists it as uncharacterized. The record is from RefSeq and is a predicted model, not a curated record. The transcript is spliced from 5 exons. NCBI's taxonomy places the organism in Eukaryota, Metazoa, Chordata, Actinopteri, Kurtiformes, Apogonidae.